This 2029-nucleotide long non-coding RNA is filed under the name Marmota monax (woodchuck). Lineage: Eukaryota; Metazoa; Chordata; Mammalia; Rodentia; Sciuridae. The record is from RNAcentral.
GAAACCCCCCAGAGUCCCAAAGCCAAGGCCACGGUCCCUCCCUGCCCGGCUCCUGGCGCCGCCGCGCCCCCUGGCGGAGGAGCGAGGGAGCGCGCUGGAGGGAGGGACGCGCUUGCCCUGGGCCCAGAGGCUGGGACCGGCUCAGACAACCCCAUGGGGUCACAGGGCUCUUGCUGUGCAAUGAUGCCUCAGGGGUCCUGCAGACACUCCGUUGAGUUUGAAAAUAAAGAACCUUGAGCUCUGGAGAGGCUGGGUCCUCCUUUGAACGUCCUUUACAGGCCAGGACCUGGGGAGAAUGCCAUCCCUCCUCCACCCUCAGCUCACUGGGACCCUCAGGAAGAUCCCCCAACCAGAUCUGCAGUUAAGCAAGAUAAAGAAGACACUUCCAUUCACCAUUGUUAACAGAUAAAAUAGACAAAGGAUAGAUCUACAAAUUUCUAGGAAAAAAUGAAGACCCACAUUGUCGAUACUGGGAAAGUGUAGACCCCUGCCACAUCUCCGCAAAACGUACUUGCCCACCAUUCUUGAAACUUAGCAACACACAGAGAGAGAGAGAGAGAGAGAGAGAGAGAGAGAGAGAGAGAGAGAGCGGGUCAAGAACAAACAACCAGAUGUGACAGAACAUCCUGUGGUAUAGGGUGGGGGUGCACCUGAGGCUUCAGAAUAAGUAGAACGAUAAGCCCAAUUUACUUUUUGACCCAGAGGUAAUACUAAAGGCCGAAUCCAUGGUUGUAAACAGGUGUGAAAGACUAUUCUUUCUCAAGCCAGAGAGCCCUCAGACUGGUAAAGAUUGAUUUUAGAUCAGAGACACCAUUUCAUUUGUAAAAGCAAUAGAAACAGAAUUACAGCUGCUCUGUCCACAGGCACAAUGCGGACAAUGUUUUUAAUUGCAGUGUUAAUUAUGAUAGCCCAAGACUGGAGGUCAGCAAGGCGUCCAUGCACAGUGGGCUGGGCCAUGGGGCUACAGGAGGAAGGGGAGAAGCUCUGUGCAUGAUAGGGAGAUGGCUAGGAUGGCACCUGGGGCGAAGAGGGCAGAGUAGGGUGCCCGCGGCAGUGUCUGUGCCACAUGCCGUGCAGAUGCAAGAGCACACCUGUACUUGCAAAAAGAAAACAUAAACCAGAGAGUAACAAAGAUGAAAGUUCCCAGUAAUAAAAACGCUGGUAAAUGUGGCAGACUUCUCUUCUUGAAUUUCCUAAAUAGUGUUUGGUGGUUGGAACCAAAAGCAUGACCCCAUCUGAGAUGAUUCUAAAUAUAUACAGAGGAAAUGUUUAUGACAAUCAUUUUAUAACACCUCAGGGUGGGUAUAGAACUUUAAGAAAGAUAAAGUUUCCUUUUCUUUUUUAAAAAUUUAUUACAAUUUGUUAUAUAUGUCACAAGAAUGCAUUGCAAUUCAUAUUUCACAAAUAGAGCACAAUUUUUCAUAUCUCUGGUUGUAGAGUUACACCAGUUGGGUCUUCAUACAUGUACUUAGGGUAAUGAUGUCCAUCUCAUUCCCCUUUUGGGGGAAGAAGUUUCAAUACCUCACUUAAAUAGACAAAUAGAAAACAUGAGAAGACUAUCUACAUCAUGCAACAGCGAUAGCUACCACUAGAAAGACUGUAUAUAUUGAUCCACUGAGAAGAUAGUUGGCAAAAUCCACGUGGGUAUCUAAGAAAGGUUCAGGUAUGCACAUGAAGAUGGAGGGAAGAAACAGAAACAAGAAACAGAGAGCCGACAGGACCUAAAAGUAAAGUGGUAGACUUAAGGCCUAUUAUGUCAGGAAUCACCACUACAUGUAAGUGGUCUAAAGAGAGCAACAAAAAGAGGUGGUUGGAUGGACUGAAAACAUGACCUGACUGUUGUUUAUAAGAAGUUAACUUCCAAUGCUGUGAUAUUGGCCGCUUGAACAUGAAAGGAUGGCAAAACAUAGACCUUGCAGAUAUUAAUCAAAGGAAAGCAGGACUAGUUCUCUAAAGGGCAAAGAAAAUGGCCAAACAGAGAAGGAUGUCACAUAACAUUAACAGAGUCAGUUCACCAAGAAGACACAGC